UUCCACACGUUCCCAUCCCGAACACGACCGUUAAGCCCUCCAGCGCCGAUGGUACUUGGACCGAAGGGUCCUGGGAGAGUAGGACGCCGCCAAGC
Molecule: ribosomal RNA, 95 nt
Filed under: Paenibacillus sp.
Lineage: Bacteria; Bacillati; Bacillota; Bacilli; Caryophanales; Paenibacillaceae
Source: RNAcentral